AUGCUCACCCACUGAGCCAUGCCGGUCGGGGAGGCUGAUCCUGGGAUUCAUGGCUGGCCCACCGGCCUCCAUAUGCAGACGACCUGUUUCACUUAAACUGACCUAAAGUAAACUACUGGGAGCUUGCGAUGGUGUUUGUCGGGUUCUCACACGAAGCAGGACGUUGGCAGAUUGGCGCAUGCUCAGCAGUGGACAGCCGCCUCCGAGGGACCCAGGUUCCCGGUCUCGGGAACUGUGGUGAGUGACAAUGAGAGUCCUGCACAUCCUCCUCACUGCUCUCCUUACCAUCCUCCAGACAGCACCGGGGCUCUCAAUUUUGAAAGGCCCUGCUACCUUCGGGGUGGGAUCUGCCUGAAGCGGGGCACCCCAAACUGUAAGCCUAUCCAGGGGCCCUGCCGAGCUUUCACCAUCUGCUGCCGCAUAAAGAGGAACCAAUGAGAGUGCCCGGGGGAGAGAGCCCGGCCCUAAGACCUGGCGCGUGGCUCCUCGGGUCAAAAUAAAAGCUCUCAACACUCACGUCUGUAUAUGGAUCAUUUUGUCUUCAGGGUUGAUUAGAACAUUGUCUUCCCAGAACGGGUGGUCGGGAGGGAAUCAAUGAUAAGAAUUAAGUGUAAGUUCCGCUUUCAGUUUUGCAGGGCAUUUUCAUGAGAACCGCUCUGGGUUACCAGCCCCAAGCCACAGAUGUAGAAACUGAAACCCAGCCAGGUGCAACAGCUCACCCACAUUGAAGAGUCAGCACAAGAAGGAGCAUAAUUUAAGGCUGUGGUCAGUUCCAGAACUCUCUGCCUGCAUGGAAGGGAAGUUGUGGUUUCCUUAGAAACCUCAGGGAGUGUGCACAGGAGAGAAUUCACUGUAGUGGGCGAGUGAUGUGAGGACAGGGCUUGGUCCUGGGCCUACCGCUGCCAUGGGGAAGGAGCUUUGGGGGUAGCACAGGCUUGGGGUGGUGUUGGGAACAUGCAGGAAGAAAGCACAGUACAGAGGCUACCCAGAAAGGAAUCUCAAUGGCAGGUCAGAAGGCGCACGCUCCGAGGUAGAGCCUGGGAUGAAGUGACUAUUUCCUGUCUUCCUGCUCACUGUUCCUGUCCAGGCCAUGAACCCUCUGUGGCAUCGUAAGUGAUCUCUCCACUACGCCACAUCCUGACUCUGGUGAGGAGCCAGUCUGUGGAUCAGCAUCACCGCCUGCAAUUUACAGCACAAGUUGGAGGAGGCUGGGGAGGAGGCAGCAGGUGCCCAAGGUGCCCAGGAAGUUGGGAGACAGAAAAAAGAUGUUAUAUUUGCCUUCUUCCAAAAUCUAAACAGUCCAUGGAAAAGAAUGAAGCUUGGCUGGCACUGUGACAAGUAACAGUCCGGGCCAACUGUAUGGCUGGGUCCCAUCAAUGAGUAACCACUAGGACUCAGCUCAGUGUGCGGACCCACAAUGGGCUGUCACGGCUGUCAGUCAGUGUAGGUGAAGAUGGUGGACACAGACAGAGUGUGAUUCCCCACAUUCCUGAUCGGCACUAUCCUCUUCACAGUCUGUGUCCAAGGAUCAUCGCAGGCUUUGCUAUGCCCAGUGUCUGUGGGGAGAGUCAACGGUGAGUCCUGUCCUUGAGUGGAACAGUCUACCAUCGCCAGGAGAACUUAGGAACCUAUGAGUGAUUUAAAAAUAAUUCAUUUCCUAAUUUGUGUUUCUUCACUAUGAAGUCGAAACCUUCUUUGCUUUGUCACAUAAUUCUCCCAGCAUUCACAGAGUCACUGACAUCUCUCCGUUUCAAAGUCUCUGGUCAGCCCCAUGUAGCCCAUGCCUCUAUGCCUCUCUCUUCCUUCUGUUUCUUCUUCCUUUUUUUAAAAAAAUGUUUUUA
Long non-coding RNA from Myotis brandtii (Brandt's bat), 1841 nucleotides. RefSeq lists it as uncharacterized. The transcript has 3 exons. NCBI's taxonomy places the organism in Eukaryota, Metazoa, Chordata, Mammalia, Chiroptera, Vespertilionidae. The record is from RefSeq and is a predicted model, not a curated record.